RNAcentral lists this ribosomal RNA (497 nucleotides) under uncultured bacterium. RNAcentral's name for it is "partial 16S ribosomal RNA". It matches the Rfam family "Bacterial small subunit ribosomal RNA", at positions 28 to 507 of the family's 1533-position model. The record is from RNAcentral.
GAUGAACGCUGGCGGCGUGCCUAAUACAUGCAAGUCGAGCGAACGGACGAGAAGCUUGCUCCCCUGAUGUUAGCGGCGGACGGGUGAGUAACACGUGGAUAACCUACCUAUAAGACUGGGAUAACUUCGGGAAACCGGAUCUAAUACCGGAUAAUAUUUUGAACCGCAUGGUUCAAAAGUGAAUGACGGUCUUGCUGUCACUUAUAGAUGGAUCCGCGCUGCAUUAGCUAGUUGGUAAGGUAACGGCUUACCAAGGCAACGAUGCAUAGCCGACCUGAGAGGGUGAUCGGCCACACUGGAACUGAGACACGGUCCAGACUCCUACGGGAGGCAGCAGUAGGGAAUCUUCCGCAAUGGGCGAAAGCCUGACGGAGCAACGCCGCGUGAGUGAUGAAGGUCUUCGGGUCGUAAAACUCUGUUAUUAGGGAAGAACAUAAGUGUAAGUAACUGUGCACAUCUUGACGGUACCUAAUCAGAAAGCCACGGCUAACUACGUG